UUUUAUAAAGAAACAAAGUAGUAGUAAUAUACAAAACUUAAAUACAAUGGCGGUCAUACUAAAUUAAAGAAACUCGCUAAAUAAUCGACAACACCCGUUAAUUUUUACUUAAAUAAUAAAUUCAUAUACCGCCGUUACAGAAUCAACACAAUAUUAAUCCAAAUAAUCCAAUUACAAUAAAAAAUCAGGUCAAGGUGUGGUAAUAUAUAAGUUAUAGUAAGUUACAUUAAAAAAGAAUUAAGGAUUUCAAAUCUAAAUAAAAAGGAAAAAGAAUUUAUCAGUAAAUAAAUAAUCAAAAUUUAUUAUAGAAUAAUAAUAUCAUAGACGC
RNAcentral lists this ribosomal RNA (328 nucleotides) under Aetana sp. Ind101. RNAcentral describes it as "partial 12S ribosomal RNA". Lineage: Eukaryota; Metazoa; Arthropoda; Arachnida; Araneae; Pholcidae. The record is from RNAcentral.